GACGAACGUUGGCGGCGUGCUUAAUACAUGCAAGUCAACUGAAGCAGUGGUAGCAAUAUCGCUGUGGAGGUGGCGCACGGGUGAGUAACACGUAGGUAAUCUGCCUUCAGGUCUGGCAUAACUCCGGGAAACCGGGGCUAAUAGCAGAUGAUGCAGCGGCUCGACAUCGAGACAGUUGUUAAAGCUAUGGCGCCUGAAGAUGAGCCUGCGUCUGAUUAGCUAGUUGGCGGGGUAACGGCCCACCAAGGCAACGAUCAGUAGCUGGUCUGAGAGGAUGAUCAGCCACACUGGAACUGAGACACGGUCCAGACUCCUACGGGAGGCAGCAGUAAGGAAUAUUGCUCAAUGGGAGAAAUCCUGAAGCAGCAACGCCGCGUGAGGGACGAAGGGCUUUGGCUUGUAAACCUCUGUAGUGAGAGAAAAAAAUCCCAAUCUUUGGGACAUGAUGGUAUCUCAAAUGUAAGCCCCGGCUAACUACGUG
RNAcentral lists this ribosomal RNA (481 nucleotides) under uncultured bacterium. RNAcentral's name for it is "partial 16S ribosomal RNA". It matches the Rfam family "Bacterial small subunit ribosomal RNA", at positions 28 to 507 of the family's 1533-position model. The record is from RNAcentral.